This 1381-nucleotide ribosomal RNA is filed under the name uncultured bacterium. RNAcentral describes it as "16S ribosomal RNA". It matches the Rfam family "Bacterial small subunit ribosomal RNA", at positions 19 to 1395 of the family's 1533-position model. The record is from RNAcentral.
CUGGCUCACGAUGAACGCUAGCUACAGGCUUAACACAUGCAAGUCGAGGGGCAGCAUGGUCUUAGCUUGCUAAGGCCGAUGGCGACCGGCGCACGGGUGAGUAACACGUAUCCAACCUGCCGUCUACUCUUGGACAGCCUUCUGAAAGGAAGAUUAAUACAAGAUGGCAUCAUGAGUCCGCAUGUUCACAUGAUUAAAGGUAUUCCGGUAGACGAUGGGGAUGCGUUCCAUUAGAUAGUAGGCGGGGUAACGGCCCACCUAGUCUUCGAUGGAUAGGGGUUCUGAGAGGAAGGUCCCCCACAUUGGAACUGAGACACGGUCCAAACUCCUACGGGAGGCAGCAGUGAGGAAUAUUGGUCAAUGGGCGAGAGCCUGAACCAGCCAAGUAGCGUGAAGGAUGACUGCCCUAUGGGUUGUAAACUUCUUUUAUAAAGGAAUAAAGUCGGGUAUGCAUACCCGUUUGCAUGUACUUUAUGAAUAAGGAUCGGCUAACUCCGUGCCAGCAGCCGCGGUAAUACGGAGGAUCCGAGCGUUAUCCGGAUUUAUUGGGUUUAAAGGGAGCGUAGAUGGAUGUUUAAGUCAGUUGUGAAAGUUUGCGGCUCAACCGUAAAAUUGCAGUUGAUACUGGAUAUCUUGAGUGCAGUUGAGGCAGGCGGAAUUCGUGGUGUAGCGGUGAAAUGCUUAGAUAUCACGAAGAACUCCGAUUGCGAAGGCAGCCUGCUAAGCUGCAACUGACAUUGAGGCUCGAAAGUGUGGGUAUCAAACAGGAAUAGAUACCCUGGUAGUCCACACGGUAAACGAUGAAUACUCGCUGUUGGCGAUAUACAGCAAGCGGCCAAGCGAAAGCGUUAAGUAUUCCACCUGGGGAGUACGCCGGCAACGGUGAAACUCAAAGGAAUUGACGGGGGCCCGCACAAGCGGAGGAACAUGUGGUUUAAUUCGAUGAUACGCGAGGAACCUUACCCGGGCUUAAAUUGCAGAUGAAUUACGGUGAAAGCCGUAAGCCGCAAGGCAUCUGUGAAGGUGCUGCAUGGUUGUCGUCAGCUCGUGCCGUGAGGUGUCGGCUUAAGUGCCAUAACGAGCGCAACCCUUGUUGUCAGUUACUAACAGGUUCCGCUGAGGACUCUGACAAGACUGCCAUCGUAAGAUGUGAGGAAGGUGGGGAUGACGUCAAAUCAGCACGGCCCUUACGUCCGGGGCUACACACGUGUUACAAUGGGGGGUACAGAGGGCCGCUACCACGCGAGUGGAUGCCAAUCCCCAAAACCUCUCUCAGUUCGGACUGGAGUCUGCAACCCGACUCCACGAAGCUGGAUUCGCUAGUAAUCGCGCAUCAGCCACGGCGCGGUGAAUACGUUCCCGGGCCUUGCACACACCGCCC